Pogoniulus pusillus (Red-fronted tinkerbird) is the source of this 957-nucleotide long non-coding RNA. RefSeq lists it as uncharacterized. NCBI's taxonomy places the organism in Eukaryota, Metazoa, Chordata, Aves, Piciformes, Lybiidae. The record is from RefSeq and is a predicted model, not a curated record. The transcript is spliced from 3 exons.
GUUUGGGGUGGGGGAAGGAAGGUGAAAGGGGAGGGCUACACAUCCUGGAAGGUGAGAGACAGCGAUGCUCUCUCCUGCAGCCCGGAGCAAGCCCCCUUUGUCCCGCAGAUUCCCCAGGCUGAACCCCUGCGCUGGGCCGAAUUUAGCAGCAGAAGAGAUAACCAGGAGAUAAGGGCUGAUACCCGGGAGGACAGCAGGAGAGCAGCCGAGGAAGAGGGGGAAAAUCCGGAGGCAGCCUCGGGAAGGGCUGUGCACCCAGAUGUACAGGGCUUGGGAUAUGCAUCCCCCUUUCAACUCCUUGCAUAACCCCCGGCGGUUUUCUCCACCGAGGCAUCGUUUCGCUGAAGCUCCGUUGAAUCCCUACUGCGUAUCAGCGCUUGCCUUUAUAGAUACAUAAAUGAAGCACCCAACAAAACGACCCCCAAAGUCCAAUUAAAACCCACUAAAACCUCCCGAGCAGCUCUUACUAGACGCAGAGACGGUUUCGAGGACUAGCUUGGAUUUGCCUCUUCCAGGAAAAAUAACAACAAACGAAACAACCCCAACCAAAUCACAUCGCAGUCUUGCGUGUGCGUGGCCGGCUCCAGCCUCUUUUCAGUGGGCAAUGCGGCUCCUCAGUGCCGAGCAUCGCAUCGAGGCAGAGGGAUUCGCCCCCCGAAAAAACAAUUCCCGGAUUCCAGCACGGUGUAAACUAACAGCGGAGAGGGGAAAGAUUGAUUCGGGACGAUUUUUAUCCCCCCAAAAGCGAAGGAUGGGACGCAGCAAUGCGCAGCGACAGGGAAAAGUCUCUGCCCGCACUCGGAGGAGGUUUUUAUCCCCCUUUGGUUGCGGACAGCAAAGCCAAGCCGCUAAAGAUAUCGAGCUGAAAAUCACCCUGCGGAACAAGCCUCAACCUUUCCUCUCUGCUUUCCAGCUUCCUUUCCCCUCCCAGGCGGGAAAUAAAUCCUUAUGAUGUUG